This 63-nucleotide transfer RNA is filed under the name Tenebrionoidea sp. 11 KM-2017. Its description in RNAcentral is "tRNA-Tyr". Lineage: Eukaryota; Metazoa; Arthropoda; Insecta; Coleoptera. The record is from RNAcentral.
AGUGACAUGGCCGAGUUUAGGCAUUAAAUUGUAAAUUUAAUUACGGGUCAUUCCCUGUUACUA